This is a long non-coding RNA of Mya arenaria, 289 nucleotides long. RefSeq lists it as uncharacterized. The transcript has 3 exons. NCBI's taxonomy places the organism in Eukaryota, Metazoa, Mollusca, Bivalvia, Myida, Myidae. The record is from RefSeq and is a predicted model, not a curated record.
UUAAAGUGUUCCAACAACUGACUAAACAUCGACUGACAUUGUACAAAUGAUGGGGAGUGCACGUGUAGAACAUGGCAUAAUACGUGCACUCGUCUCACACCUGGAGCCUUGUACCUGAGGUUAUCUGUGGCACUUUCUUGUGGGAUGUGAUCCUGAGUGGUUGUCCGGCAAUUACCAGAUUCGAAGGAAUAUAAUAAUGGCGUAAUACUUAAGACACGACACCGGAAUACGACAUCCUGAGGAUCAGUGAAACCUGCAUCACUGCUCAAGUACAGAGAAUCAUCACCAG